AAGUCGAGCGAACAGACGAGGAGCUUGCUCCUCUGACGUUAGCGGCGGACGGGUGAGUAACACGUGGAUAACCUACCUAUAAGACUGGGAUAACUUCGGGAAACCGGAGCUAAUACCGGAUAAUAUAUUGAACCGCAUGGCUCAAUAGUGAAAGACGGUUUUGCUGUCACUUAUAGAUGGAUCCGCGCCGCAUUAGCUAGUUGGUAAGGUAACGGCUUACCAAGGCAACGAUGCGUAGCCGACCUGAGAGGGUGAUCGGCCACACUGGAACUGAGACACGGUCCAGACUCCUACGGGAGGCAGCAGUAGGGAAUCUUCCGCAAUGGGCGAAAGCCUGACGGAGCAACGCCGCGUGAGUGAUGAAGGUCUUCGGAUCGUAAAACUCUGUUAUUAGGGAAGAACAAAUGUGUAAGUAACUAUGCACGUCUUGACGGUACCUAAUCAGAAAGCCACGGCUAACUACGUGCCAGCAGCCGCGGUAAUACGUAGGUGGCAAGCGUUAUCCGGAAUUAUUGGGCGUAAAGCGCGCGUAGGCGGUUUUUUAAGUCUGAUGUGAAAGCCCACGGCUCAACCGUGGAGGGUCAUUGGAAACUGAAAAACUUGAGUGCAGAAGAGGAAAGUGGAAUUCCAUGUGUAGCGGUGAAAUGCGCAGAGAUAUGGAGGAACACCAGUGGCGAAGGCGACUUUCUGGUCUGUAACUGACGCUGAUGUGCGAAAGCGUGGGGAUCAAACAGGAUUA
Molecule: ribosomal RNA, 739 nt
Filed under: uncultured Staphylococcus sp.
Lineage: Bacteria; Bacillati; Bacillota; Bacilli; Caryophanales; Staphylococcaceae
Description: bacterial SSU rRNA
Rfam family: Bacterial small subunit ribosomal RNA
Source: RNAcentral